This 497-nucleotide ribosomal RNA is filed under the name uncultured bacterium. RNAcentral's name for it is "partial 16S ribosomal RNA". It matches the Rfam family "Bacterial small subunit ribosomal RNA", at positions 28 to 507 of the family's 1533-position model. The record is from RNAcentral.
GAUGAACGCUGGCGGCGUGCCUAAUACAUGCAAGUCGAGCGAACGGACGAUGAUCUUGCUUCGCGGAUGUUAGCGGCGGACGGGUGUGUAACGCGUGUAUAACCUACCUAUAAUACUGGUAAAAUUUCGGGAAACGGGAUCUUAUACCGUAGGAUAUUUUGCACCGCAGUGGUCAAAGGUGAAUUACGGUCUUUCGGUCACUUAUCGAUGGAUCCGCGCUGCAUUAGCUAGUUGGUAAGGUAACGGCCUACCAAGGCAACGAUGCGUAACCGACCGGAGGGACGGAUCGCCGACACUGGAACUGAGCCACGGACCUGACUACUACGGGAGGCAGCAGUAGCGAAUCUUACGCAAUGGGCGAAAGCCUGACGGAGUAACGCCGAGUGAGUGAUGAAAGUCUUCGGAGCGUAAAAAUCUGUUAUUAGGGAAGAACAUAUGUGUACGUAAAUGUGCACAGAGUGACGGUAACUAGUAAGAAAGCACCGGCUAACUACGUG